UGGACCUCAGAUCAGGCAAGAUUACCCGCUGAGUUUAAGCAUAUCACUAAGCGGAGGAAAAGAAACUAACUAGGAUUU
RNAcentral lists this ribosomal RNA (78 nucleotides) under Syzygiella autumnalis. Its description in RNAcentral is "partial 26S ribosomal RNA". It matches the Rfam family "Eukaryotic large subunit ribosomal RNA", at positions 1 to 77 of the family's 3401-position model. RNAcentral also lists the same sequence under 2 other names. The record is from RNAcentral. Lineage: Eukaryota; Viridiplantae; Streptophyta; Jungermanniopsida; Jungermanniales; Adelanthaceae.